RNAcentral lists this ribosomal RNA (454 nucleotides) under uncultured bacterium. RNAcentral describes it as "partial 16S ribosomal RNA". It matches the Rfam family "Bacterial small subunit ribosomal RNA", at positions 28 to 507 of the family's 1533-position model. The record is from RNAcentral.
GAUGAACGCUGACAGAAUGCUUAACACAUGCAAGUCAACUUGAACUUCGGUUUGGGUGGCGGACGGGUGAGUAACGCGUAAAGAACUUGCCUCACAGAUAGGGACAACAUUUGGAAACGAAUGCUAAUACCUGAUAUUAUGAUUAUAUGGCAUCGUAUAAUUAUGAAAGCUAUAUGCGCUGUGAGAGAGCUUUGCGUCCCAUUAGCUAGUUGGAGAGGUAACGGCUCACCAAGGCGAUGAUGGGUAGCCGGCCUGAGAGGGUGAUCGGCCACAAGGGGACGGAGACACGGCCCUUACUCCUACGGGAGGCAGCAGUGGGGAAUAUUGGACAAUGGACCAAGAGUCUGAUCCAGCAAUUCUGUGUGCACGAUGAAGUUUUUCGGAAUGUAAAGUGCUUCCAGUUGGGAAGAAAAAAAUGACGGUACCAACAGAAGAAGUGACGGCUAAAUACGUG